CCGUCGUUGACCUACUCAUUCUCGGUGCCCACCAUUUUGCCCAUCAUCUCCCUCUCUUCCACUACCACCUCGUCUUCUCUCUUCUCUUCUAAUCUACGAUGCUCCUCAAUACCAUUGGAUGUCUCCAACCCUUGGACCCUCGAAAUAUGCCACAUCCUUUGCCGUCCUCUUUCAGUGCCUCUCCAUCACUGCCGCCGACCUCUUCCUCCUCCUU
RNAcentral lists this long non-coding RNA (214 nucleotides) under Elaeis guineensis (African oil palm). RNAcentral describes it as "long non-coding RNA (EGUI_LNC025939)". The record is from RNAcentral. Lineage: Eukaryota; Viridiplantae; Streptophyta; Magnoliopsida; Arecales; Arecaceae.